This 492-nucleotide ribosomal RNA is filed under the name uncultured bacterium. RNAcentral describes it as "partial 16S ribosomal RNA". It matches the Rfam family "Bacterial small subunit ribosomal RNA", at positions 29 to 507 of the family's 1533-position model. The record is from RNAcentral.
AUUGAACGCUGGCGGCAUGCUUUACACAUGCAAGUCGAACGGUAACAGGCCUUCGGGUGCUGACGAGUGGCGAACGGGUGAGUAAUGCAUCGGAACGUACCCAGAGGUGGGGGAUAACGCAGCGAAAGCUGUGCUAAUACCGCAUGUGAUCUGAGGAUGAAAGCGGGGGACCGAGCAGCAAUGUUUGGCCUCGCGCCUUUGGAGCGGCCGAUGUCGGAUUAGCUAGUUGGUGGGGUAAAGGCCUACCAAGGCGACGAUCCGUAGCUGGUCUGAGAGGACGACCAGCCACACUGGGACUGAGACACGGCCCAGACUCCUACGGGAGGCAGCAGUGGGGAAUUUUGGACAAUGGGCGCAAGCCUGAUCCAGCAAUGCCGCGUGCGGGAAGAAGGCCUUCGGGUUGUAAACCGCUUUUGGCAGGAACGAAACGGUGUCCGCUAAUACCGGGCGCUAAUGACGGUACCUGCAGAAUAAGCACCGGCUAACCACGUG